AAGCGGUGGAGCAUGUGGUUUAAUUCGAUGCAACGCGAAGAACCUUACCUACUCUUGACAUCCUAUGAAUCUGGAAGAGAUUUCGGAGUGCCGAAAGGAGCAUAGAGACAGGUGCUGCAUGGCUGUCGUCAGCUCGUGUCUUGAGAUGUUGGGUUAAGUCCCGUAACGAGCGCAACCCUUAUCCUUAGUUGCCAGCACGUAAAGGUGGGAACUCUAAGGAGACUGCCGGUGAUAAACCGGAGGAAGGUGGGGAUGAGGUCAAGUCAUCAUGGCCUUUAUGAGUAGGGCAACACACGUGCUACAAUGGGCAGUACAGAGGGAAGCCAACCCGCGAGGGGGAGCAAAACUCAGAAAGCUGUUCGUAGUCCGGAUUGGAGUCUGGAACUCGACUCCAUGAAGUCGGAAUCGCUAGUAAUCGCGGAUCAGAACGCCGCGGUGAAUACGUUCCCGGGCCUUGUACACACCGCCCGUCACACCAUGGGAGUGGGUUGUACCAGAAGUCGUUAGCUUAUCCGCAAGGGGGGCGACGACCACGGUAUGGUUCAUGACUGGGGUGAAGUCGUAACAAGGUAACCGUA
RNAcentral lists this ribosomal RNA (578 nucleotides) under uncultured bacterium. Its description in RNAcentral is "bacterial SSU rRNA". It matches the Rfam family "Bacterial small subunit ribosomal RNA", at positions 927 to 1504 of the family's 1533-position model. The record is from RNAcentral.